RNAcentral lists this ribosomal RNA (251 nucleotides) under uncultured prokaryote. RNAcentral's name for it is "partial 16S ribosomal RNA". It matches the Rfam family "Bacterial small subunit ribosomal RNA", at positions 525 to 775 of the family's 1533-position model. The record is from RNAcentral.
ACGUAGGGUGCAAGCGUUAAUCGGAAUUACUGGGCGUAAAGCGUGCGCAGGCGGUUUUGUAAGACAGAGGUGAAAUCCCCGGGCUCAACCUGGGAACUGCCUUUGUGACUGCAAGGCUGGAGUGCGGCAGAGGGGGAUGGAAUUCCGCGUGUAGCAGUGAAAUGCGUAGAGAUGUGGAGGAACACCGAUGGCGAAGGCAGCCCCCUGGGUCGACACUGACGCUCGUGCACGAAAGCGUGGGGAGCAAACAG